UCUACAGGCUUAACACAUGCAAGUCGAGGGGCAGCAUGGUCUUAGCUUGCUAAGGCCGAUGGCGACCGGCGCACGGGUGAGUAACACGUAUCCAACCUGCCGUCUACUCUUGGACAGCCUUCUGAAAGGAAGAUUAAUACAAGAUGGCAUCAUGAGUCCGCAUGUUCACAUGAUUAAAGGUAUUCCGGUAGACGAUGGGGAUGCGUUCCAUUAGAUAGUAGGCGGGGUAACGGCCCACCUAGCCUUCGAUGGAUAGGGGUUCUGAGAGGAAGGUCCCCCACAUUGGAACUGAGACACGGUCCAAACUCCUACGGGAGGCAGCAGUGAGGAAUAUUGGUCAAUGGGCGAGAGCCUGAACCAGCCAAGUAGCGUGAAGGAUGACUGCCCUAUGGGUUGUAAACUUCUUUUAUAAAGGAAUAAAGUCGGGUAUGGAUACCCGUUUGCAUGUACUUUAUGAAUAAGGAUCGGCUAACUCCGUGCCAGCAGCCGCGGUAAUACGGAGGAUCCGAGCGUUAUCCGGAUUUAUUGGGUUUAAAGGGAGCGUAGAUGGAUGUUUAAGUCAGUUGUGAAAGUUUGCGGCUCAACCGUAAAAUUGCAGUUGAUACUGGAUAUCUUGAGUGCAGUUGAGGCAGGCGGAAUUCGUGGUGUAGCGGUGAAAUGCUUAGAUAUCACGAAGAACUCCGAUUGCGAAGGCAGCCUGCUAAGCUGCAACUGACAUUGAGGCUCGAAAGUGUGGGUAUCAAACAGGAUUAGAUACCCUGGUAGUCCACACGGUAAACGAUGAAUACUCGCUGUUUGCGAUAUACUGCAAGCGGCCAAGCGAAAGCGUUAAGUAUUCCACCUGGGGAGUACGCCGGCAACGGUGAAACUCAAAGGAAUUGACGGGGGCCCGCACAAGCGGAGGAACAUGUGGUUUAAUUCGAUGAUACGCGAGGAACCUUACCCGGGCUUAAAUUGCAGAUGAAUUACGGUGAAAGCCGUAAGCCGCAAGGCAUCUGUGAAGGUGCUGCAUGGUUGUCGUCAGCUCGUGCCGUGAGGUGUCGGCUUAAGUGCCAUAACGAGCGCAACCCUUGUUGUCAGUUACUAACAGGUUCCGCUGAGGACUCUGACAAGACUGCCAUCGUAAGAUGUGAGGAAGGUGGGGAUGACGUCAAAUCAGCACGGCCCUUACGUCCGGGGCUACACACGUGUUACAAUGGGGGGUACAGAGGGCCGCUACCACGCGAGUGGAUGCCAAUCCCCAAAACCUCUCUCAGUUCGGACUGGAGUCUGCAACCCGACUCCACGAAGCUGGAUUCGCUAGUAAUCGCGCAUCAGCCACGGCGCGGUGAAUACGUUCCCGGGCCUUGUACACACCGCCCGUCAAGCCAUGGGAGCCGGGGGUACCUGAAGUGCGUAACCGCGAGGAGCGCCCUAGGGUAAAACUGGUGACUGGGGC
Molecule: ribosomal RNA, 1438 nt
Filed under: uncultured bacterium
Lineage: Bacteria
Description: bacterial SSU rRNA
Rfam family: Bacterial small subunit ribosomal RNA
Source: RNAcentral